AUUUUCAUAGUUUAAAAAGAACAAAGGUUUGUGGUGCCUUAGGUGUAAAUCAUUACUGGAGAUC
Molecule: transfer RNA, 64 nt
Filed under: Triops australiensis
Lineage: Eukaryota; Metazoa; Arthropoda; Branchiopoda; Notostraca; Triopsidae
Description: tRNA-His
Source: RNAcentral